Molecule: long non-coding RNA, 611 nt
Organism: Lycium barbarum (goji berry)
Lineage: Eukaryota; Viridiplantae; Streptophyta; Magnoliopsida; Solanales; Solanaceae
Exons: 2
Source: RefSeq, a predicted model, not a curated record
UUUCCUCUAUUUCUCACCUAAACACCAAUCAUUCAAUCUCUAUUUCUCACCUAAACACCCAUCAUCCAAACGAACCACUGUUAAAUACUAAAAAAAAAAAAAAAAAAAACAGUCCAAAAAAGAAAUCAGUAGCCCGCCCCUUCGUUCUUUUUUGGUGUGAGUUUGAUUUUCAUUUUAAAAAAAAAACUUUUGAGGACUAUUGUUUGGGAUUGUCGGCAUCAGAUUCGCCGUAGAUCUGGUUUAGCUUGGGUGUUUUCGUCGAGUUCCGGUUCAAAGUUCCGUUUAAGGCCUGCAUUUCACUAUGCAGAUUUACAAGAUGACGGAUCAGCAUGUUAGGACUCAGCACGUAUCAUCUUUUGGUGAGCCGCGUUCUAUUCGGGGUUUUAUCUUUACUUAUGUUUAUUUCAGUCUUGCAGUUAAGGUAUGCCGGGGGUCUUGUCCCGGUAAACAGUUUAGUAGUCAGAUUCAUGUCAGAGGUUUCAUAGACUAGUCAGUUAUGUUAUGUUAGAUAUUCAGAGUCGUCUACCUAUGUUGGCUCAUUAUUAUUAUGUUUAUUCAUACUAUUCCGCAUUAUGACAUUAUGAUAUUUUCAUAUUUAUGAUUUUUGAUCC